GGAAACACUGAAAUGAGUGUGUCAUUAACUAAGGAUUAUUAUUAAUCUAAUAUUGUAUAUCUGAGGUCCUAA
Small nucleolar RNA from Choloepus hoffmanni (Hoffmann's two-fingered sloth), 72 nucleotides. The record is from Ensembl. NCBI's taxonomy places the organism in Eukaryota, Metazoa, Chordata, Mammalia, Pilosa, Megalonychidae.